Molecule: non-coding RNA, 1675 nt
Organism: Phalacrocorax carbo (great cormorant)
Lineage: Eukaryota; Metazoa; Chordata; Aves; Suliformes; Phalacrocoracidae
Source: RefSeq, a predicted model, not a curated record
GGCGCGGGGAGCUCUGCGCGAGGGAGGGGGGUGAGCGGGAAAACGCGGCGCGGAGCCGGGAACAGCGCCCCCUCCCCCUCCGGCGGGGCGGAGGGGGGGCCCGGCAGCCCGCCGCCUCCUCACGGUUCCCCUCGCCGGGGCGAGCGGCAAAGUUGGGGGAAACUUUCCCCCGGUUUAGGGCGAGGGUCUGGGGACGUACCUCAGACCCCCCUCCUCACACAAGUCGGAGUGCUCCUGGCAGACCAGUCCUGAUGCAUGCUGAAAGAAGCGUGUGCUUCAGCACUGAUUAAAGUCAUGUAUGAGUUAAUGAGAAGCUUGCAGAGUAUGUGAAGCAAGAGAAAAUCUUUAACCAGCUCUGCUGUUCCUGCUACAUACCACAAACUUGUAAGCUGUAACCAGAAGGUGGAUUGAAUUUGUUUAAAAUGCUGCAGUAGGAGACUCUUUUAAUUGCAUCACAGGUGGAUGCUCACUCAAUGUAUUAUCGUUUUCAAAAUACCUUAAAGUUGGGUGGGUUUGGGUUUUUUUUUUUUAAGUAUUUGAGACUUCAUAUUUCAAAGUAUGUUGAAAUCCAUGGAUUAAGGAUGCUACAAGCCUACAAAGUAUUAUUUUCUGGGUUGUUGUUGUUUGUUUGUUGUUUUUUUUUUUAAUUUUAAACAAUCUCUUGGUUUCCCUGCGCUGCUUCCGGGAUUAAUAGAUUGAUAACACGUAAGAGGCUCUCAGGUGCUGGAGGAAUGGUAGCGGUGGGGUCAACGUUCUAGUUGUGGGACUUCUAAUUUAAGAAAUGUAUUGUCAUAUGGAAUAAGAUCAAAGCUGAAUCCUGCUUGCAUUUAGGUCCAAAUAUAAAAUACACUUUGGAAGGAGUCCCCAGUGAACACUGAGAGUAAUUAAGUAAAAAUAAAACCUUUCCCUUCCCCCCCACCCCUUUUAACACAGACAAGUAAGAGCAACACUGUUUUCAUUACACCAUUUUCAUUAUGUGUCCUGAUAUUUCUUAAUUUUGUAUUGCAUCUUAAAUCCUCAAGUGACUUAUAAUUUCUGUGAUUUGGGGGUAUUUGUAGACCAUACUUUUAAAGAAGCCAUCUCACUGUGUCCCAAAAGGAGCUAUUGAGCAGUCAUUCUCAUAAAGAAGACUGAACUUCUUACAGCUUUGCCUUUCCAAAGAUCUAUUUUUUCCUGUUAUUUUCAUACUUAAUUGUUGAAUUCCUUUCUCCUUACAUUAAGUAAAUAUUUAUUAGUACCAGUUGGAUUUUUUCAUCUUUUUAAAAGAACAGAGCCUUGUCACCGAGACAAUCACUUCAUACCGUAUUGAGGAGAUGACAUAAAAAAGGAGUGAAGGAGGGUUGUCUUGUGCUGGGAACAUCAGUGCCAUUUUUGGAAAACAAUACUAUAGGAAAUGGAAAUGAAAAAUACAUUUUAUGCUGGUGGGAACUUGUAAUGAGGCUAAGAGAGGAUUUGAUGUCUCAGAAAAGCAAUCAUUACAAGGGGAAAAGUGGGACUUUAUCAUACAUUUGUAAAAGUUCUCUGGCUGAAUAUCCUUUUGGGGAUCUGAAAUUUGGCUCAAGUCUGUUUAUGAACAUCUGUUGAAUGGAAUUUUAAAAAGGCACAGAUUAUAAUCUUAGUUUCUGUUGACUGUUUAAGAUGAUACAAUAAAACAAAAUAAAUGUAUCUGCAAGUA